Molecule: ribosomal RNA, 513 nt
Filed under: uncultured bacterium
Lineage: Bacteria
Description: partial 16S ribosomal RNA
Rfam family: Bacterial small subunit ribosomal RNA
Source: RNAcentral
GACGAACGCUGGCGGCAUGCCUAAUACAUGCAAGUCGAGCGAACAGAUGAAGUGCUUGCACUUCUGACGUUAGCGGCGAACGGGUGAGUAACACGUAAGGAAUCUACCUAUAAGCGGGGGAUAACAUUCGGAAACGGGUGCUAAUACCGCAUAAUAUCUUCUUCCGCAUGGAAGAAGAUUGAAAGACGGCUCUGCUGUCACUUAUAGAUGACCUUGCGGUGCAUUAGUUAGUUGGUGGGGUAACGGCCUACCAAGACGAUGAUGCAUACCCUACCUGAGAGGGUGAUGGGCAAAAUUGGGACAGAGCAAAGGCCCAAAUUCAUACGUGAGGCAGAAGUAGGAAAUCGUCAGCAAUGGGCGAAAGCCUGACGGAGCAAUGCCGCGUGAGUGAAGAAGGCCUUCGGGUCGUAAAACUCUGUUAUAAGAGAAGAACAAAUUGUAGAGUAACUGCUACAGUCUUGACGGUAUCUUAUCAGAAAGCCACGGCUAACUACGUGCCAGCCGCCGCCGUAA